GGGGUUGUGGCUCAGUGGCAGAGCAUUUGCCUAGCAUGCAUGAGGCACUGGGUUUGAUCCUCAGCACCACA
RNAcentral lists this transfer RNA (71 nucleotides) under Marmota monax (woodchuck). RNAcentral describes it as "tRNA.Ala". It matches the Rfam family "tRNA". From Rfam's summary of the family: Transfer RNA (tRNA) molecules are approximately 80 nucleotides in length. The record is from RNAcentral. Lineage: Eukaryota; Metazoa; Chordata; Mammalia; Rodentia; Sciuridae.